Small nucleolar RNA from Uloborus diversus, 117 nucleotides. RefSeq annotates it as small nucleolar RNA SNORA13. Lineage: Eukaryota; Metazoa; Arthropoda; Arachnida; Araneae; Uloboridae. The record is from RefSeq and is a predicted model, not a curated record. The transcript has a single exon.
UGCCUUGGUGUUACCUGUAAUACUGUUAUUGAAUUGCAGUGUGUCAAGCAAGGCAAACAUUAAAUUGAUUUCAUCAUUCUCUCAAUGCAUUUGAGUUUUGAUGAAAAUUGAACAUUU